UACGUAGGGUGCGAGCGUUGUCCGGAAUUACUGGGCGUAAAGCGCACGUAGGCGGCUUUCUAAGUCGGGGGUGAAAUCCUGGAGCUCAACUCCAGAACUGCCUUCGAUACUGGAGAGCUUGAGUCCGGGAGAGGUGAGUGGAACUGCGAGUGUAGAGGUGAAAUUCGUAGAUAUUCGCAAGAACACCAGUGGCGAAGGCGGCUCACUGGCCCGGUACUGACGCUGAGGUGCGAAAGCGUGGGGAGCAAACAGG
Molecule: ribosomal RNA, 253 nt
Filed under: uncultured bacterium
Lineage: Bacteria
Description: partial 16S ribosomal RNA
Rfam family: Bacterial small subunit ribosomal RNA
Source: RNAcentral